This 1613-nucleotide long non-coding RNA is filed under the name Haliotis rubra (blacklip abalone). Its description in RNAcentral is "uncharacterized LOC124284328". Lineage: Eukaryota; Metazoa; Mollusca; Gastropoda; Lepetellida; Haliotidae. The record is from RNAcentral.
GAAUGGAGGAAUUGUACUAUAGAGGACAUUGUACAGGAAGGAAUUGUACAAUAUAGGACAUUUGACAGUGAAUGGAGGAAUUGUACUAUAGAGGACAUUGUACAAUGGAUGAAGGAAUUGUACAAUAUAGGACAUUUGACAGUGAAUGGAGGAAUUGUACUAUAGAGGACAUUGUACAAUGGAUGAAGGAAUUGUACAACAUAGGACAUUUGACAGUGAAUGGAGGAAUUGUACUAUAGAGGACAUUGUACAGUGAAUGAAGGAGUUGUACAAUAUAAGACAUAGUAAAGUGAAAGAUGGAAUUGUACUAUAGAGGACACUGAACAAUGAAUGAAGGAAUUGUACAAUAUAGGACACUGAACAGUGAAUGAAGGAAUUGUACAAGGUAGGAUAUUGUACAAAUAGUGAAGGAACUUUGUCAUUUAUCAAAAACAUAACCAAUGUGAUAUAUGAAUGGUGCUUAUCAUGGCCAAAUAAGAAAUACUGAGCAUCUUUGGUAGCACAAUAUAUAAAUUGGAAUAUAUUUUAUUCAGUGACUAAGGGAUGCAAAUAUACUGGUUGGUGAUAUAGUAAUCUUCUUAAAGGUACACUAUUCAACUGGUUGUCUCAGUGAGCUAAGGUUAGUACCCCAGCUUUAGUGUGAAACUGUAAGUACAUUUUACAGACAAGCCCCAUCUUAUCAUCCUGGGGAUCAAUACUUGAUAUGGUAACCGUUAGUGGUGCUCCGAUAAAUUGAAAUAAUCAAAGAUUGGUCGCAGUGACUAAACGACCAAGCAAUCGAACAGAAACAAUUUUGGAACGCUUGUUUGUAUCAACAUUAUUUUUCACAAGGGUGGUUUCGUCUGUGUCAUUAAAUUUACAUUUUAUAAGCACUACAAGAUCAUUUCAAUUUAUGUUCCUAACAUACUAGUCAUCCUUUAAGUAUGUGAAAUUUGCAAAUGCAUUUUAUGCAAUUUGAAAAAAAAAACCAAAAAACAAACUACAUGUUUUUUCUUUAUUUUUGUGUGCAUUUACAAAGAUAACAGGAACAUUUGAUACAUGACGUUAACCAAUUAUUUUCGAUGAUUGAUCGGUUGUAAUGGACCAAUCAUCAAUUAUGAGAUUUUAACCAAUUCCCAACACUAGUAACCAUCUGACCUUGCCAUUGGAAACCAAACAUACCAUGUCUUGCAUGUUAUGUGAACAACAUUCUAUAUUUAUGCAUCUACUUGAUUAUCAAAUUCGAAUUUGACAUGUAAGGGUAAGUUUUAACUUAAUUUUAACUCCCAGACUACUGGGCAUUCCAUAUCUCCAGUUUGACACAUUCAGAAUACUUCUACAAAAUGUAAGUGUGUGCUGGCAUCGGACUGCAGGUUCGACACAAUAGGUGGUUUAAUACAUCAGAGAAACAGUGGAGAGUCUGUAUAUGUUCAAUAUUUCUCAUUUGGCCUAAUAGAUCUAGUUGUGCUGCACAUAGACAAUGUAGUGUUCGUAAAACCAAAUGAUGUAUGUACAGACUUACAUAUCUAUAUAAUCCAUUCUACAUCUCACAAUUCUGCACCAAAUAUACAAUAGUCCUCAAUCCAUCCGGAUUAGGUUCAUCUUUCAUAAAUUAAAUUUAAUUUGCAAAAAUU